RNAcentral lists this ribosomal RNA (273 nucleotides) under uncultured bacterium. RNAcentral's name for it is "partial 16S ribosomal RNA". It matches the Rfam family "Bacterial small subunit ribosomal RNA", at positions 524 to 796 of the family's 1533-position model. The record is from RNAcentral.
UACGGAGGAUGCAAGCGUUGUCCGGAUUUAUUGGGUUUAAAGGGUGCGUAGGCGGCACAGUAAGUCAGUGGUUAAAAACUCUUGCUCAACAAGAGGGGUGCCAUUGAUACUGUUGUGCUUGAGUAUUGUAGAGGUAGGCGGAAUUGGUAGUGUAGCGGUGAAAUGCAUAGAUACUACCAGGAACACCGAUUGCGAAGGCAGCUUACUGGACAAUAACUGACGCUGAGGCACGAAAGCGUGGGGAUCAAACAGGAUUAGAAACCCCUGUAGUCC